CCUACGGGGCGCAGCAGUGGGGGAUAUUGCACAAUGGGGGGAACCCUGAUGCAGCGACGCCGCGUGGGUGAAGGAGUAUUUCGGUAUGUAAAGCCCUAUCGGCAGGGAAGAAGAAAGACGGUACCUGACUAAGAAGCCCCGGCUAACUCCGUGCCAGCAGCCGCGGUAAUACGGAGGAUGCGAGCGUUAUCCGGAUUUAUUGGGUUUAAAGGGUGCGUAGGCGGAUCGUUAAGUCAGUGGUCAAAUUGAGGGGCUCAACCCCUUCCCGCCAUUGAAACUGGCGUUGUUGAGUGGAAGAGAAGUAU
This 305-nucleotide ribosomal RNA is filed under the name uncultured bacterium. RNAcentral describes it as "bacterial SSU rRNA". It matches the Rfam family "Bacterial small subunit ribosomal RNA", at positions 338 to 660 of the family's 1533-position model. The record is from RNAcentral.